This is a long non-coding RNA of Peromyscus maniculatus bairdii (prairie deer mouse), 899 nucleotides long. RefSeq lists it as uncharacterized. Lineage: Eukaryota; Metazoa; Chordata; Mammalia; Rodentia; Cricetidae. The record is from RefSeq and is a predicted model, not a curated record.
CAUAACUGGGCCCUGUGGGCUGGUCUUUCUUGUCCUAAGAUGAGCAAAAAAGAUACUGUCAUGGAAACCCACUCACUUGGUUGGAUUUUCUCAUAAAUCUGUUACAAUGCAAGGUUUCAAUUUCUCACAGCUUCAUGGACAUGAUCCACCCCACCCCACUCCACAUGGCUCAUCUUUCUCAGAUCCCACUGUGGUUUCCAUCCCAGUGAGACAAGGUCCAUGGAACACAACUGCUUUGGUCCAAAAGCUCCCGUAGAGGUGGUUUGAGGAGAGCAAGGGCUGGCUGCAAAGUGGUACAGACUGUUCUCACCUGCUCCUCCUGCCUAUGAACAAAUGGCCAAAGACAUUUUAGGUGCCAAUAACUAUCAGGCCAACUCAACUUCCUCAAGGACUACUGCCAAUGAACAGUCAACCAUGAUGGCAACUGCUACGAUUGAUUUUAUUUCCCAAGUAUGAAAGAAACACAAAUAAAUAUUGACACAUUUUCUUGUGUUAUUUUAGAAAUUCACUAUAAUGCUGCACACCUGUAAUUCCAGGAUGAGGUGGGAGGAUCACUUGAUUCCAAGAGUUCAAGACCAACUUGAGCAACAUAGAGUGAUUCCCAUCACAUUUACAAAGCAAAACAAAUAUUAAUAAUAAUAAAGUUCUAUUGUAAUUUAUACUUGAUAAUAAAUUAUCAGUUGUUUUACAUUAUUUAACCUGAUUUUUAGAAGCACAUAUUAAUUAUAGGACUCUACAUUUUGCACUGUGUUGUGAACUUUAGUCUUUCUUUACUUUUUGUAUUGACUUGUUCCCCUUAGAAAUUGGUUAGGCUGCAUGGGAAAGGAAGUGGUUAUUUGUGUCAAUUCUUUGUUAUAAUAAGGUAAUGUGCUUUAUUUGGCAAUAAAAGCUGGACAGCA